Molecule: ribosomal RNA, 253 nt
Filed under: uncultured bacterium
Lineage: Bacteria
Description: partial 16S ribosomal RNA
Rfam family: Bacterial small subunit ribosomal RNA
Source: RNAcentral
UACGUAGGGGGCUAGCGUUGUCCGGAUUUAUUGGGCGUAAAGAGCGUGUAGGCGGCUUGGUAGGUCCGCUGUGAAAACUCGAGGCUCAACCUCGAGAUGUCGGCGGAAACCCCCUGGCUAGAGUCCGGAAGAGGAGAGUGGAAUUCCUGGUGUAGCGGUGAAAUGCGCAGAUAUCAGGAAGAACACCUAUGGCGAAGGCAGCUCUCUGGGACGGUACUGACGCUGAGACGCGAAAGCGUGGGGAGCGAACAGG